This 351-nucleotide ribosomal RNA is filed under the name uncultured fungus. RNAcentral describes it as "eukaryotic LSU rRNA". The stretch from base 1 to 71 matches the Rfam family "5.8S ribosomal RNA", at positions 84 to 154 of the family's 154-position model. Lineage: Eukaryota; Fungi. The record is from RNAcentral.
GUGAGUCAUCGAGUCUUUGAACGCACCUUGCGCCCUUGGGUAUUCUCAAGGGCAUGCCUGUUUGAGUGUCAUAACAUGUUCAGCUCCCAGCCUUUUUGAAAGAGAAGGUUGCUUGGAGUUGGUGAUGGACGUUUUUUGCCAGACCUUACCGUCUUGCUCGUCUUAAAUCGAUCAGCGGAAUCAUCUUUUGAGUCCAGUCUGACUAUGUGUGAUAAUUUGAUCACAUAGAAUGUGGGCUUGCCCUACAACCGCAUCUUGAAGGACUCUGCUUCCAACACGGAAUGGUCUUGGACCAUCGUUAGCCUUUUAAUGCUUGACCUCAAAUCAGGUAGGACUACCCGCUGAACUUAA